ACAUUGGUAGUUCAGUGGUAGAAUUCUAACCCUCCAUGUAGGAGACCCAGGUUUGAUUCCUGCUCAAUAUA
This 71-nucleotide transfer RNA is filed under the name Loxodonta africana (African savanna elephant). It matches the Rfam family "tRNA". Rfam says of the family: Transfer RNA (tRNA) molecules are approximately 80 nucleotides in length. Lineage: Eukaryota; Metazoa; Chordata; Mammalia; Proboscidea; Elephantidae. The record is from Rfam by way of RNAcentral.